RNAcentral lists this long non-coding RNA (396 nucleotides) under Vigna radiata. Its description in RNAcentral is "long non-coding RNA (VRAD_LNC014734)". Lineage: Eukaryota; Viridiplantae; Streptophyta; Magnoliopsida; Fabales; Fabaceae. The record is from RNAcentral.
AAUGCAUUAUUAAUUGCUAGGGGAGGCUAGGGAUAGCAAGCCAAUAAUUAGUAAUAGGCUCUUUUCGCCGAGGGAUCGGGUUAAGGGUAGGCCAAGAAAGUUUGCAUAAUAAUUAGAUAACAAAGCGCAAUAAACAAGAGGAGUAGGUAAGAGGGAGCGGAUGGGAUGAAAUUGUAAACCCCCAACAACUUCAUUCUGUUACCAAUAAGGAGUAUUCGUAAAACCCGAUGAUGUUGCAAAAAGUAUUAAUUGAAGAGAACAUUAGAAUUAUUUAAAAACCAACUUGUAGAAUUUGGAUGUAGUAGGAAAAUCUUUAAUCUUGUAUUUUUAACUUGAAUAAUCGAUUAUGGACAAGCUAUAAUCGAUUAUCACUUGCAUUUUGUACUAGAAUAAUCG